CAGCUGAGCACUGCCCACAGCUGCCCUUGCCCCUGCCUUUCCACGUUGCACAAGCCCAGCGCACGGUACCCACUGGAUAUGCCCGAGGCCUCCAGAGGAAAGGAAAGGAGGAAAAGGGACAGAAGAAAUGUUCACAGGAACUGCAUAUGGGCCUGCUACUUGUGUCAAAAUGUGACUGAACUCUCUUCCAGCAGGCUGGAGUGCAGUGGUGCGAUCUCAGCUCAUUGCAACCUAUGCCUCCCGGGUUCAAACGAUGCGUAGUAUGGCAGCAAUUAAGAUGGAAGUAAUGAGGAAAAGGAAUACUUAUCAAUGGAGAUUAGAGAGAGCCAAGCUUACUCUGAGGGAGGUCUGAAUGCCAUAUUGUGAGCGGCCCUGCUGAAAGACCCAUGUGGCAAGGAUCUGAGAUCAUUGGCCAACAGGCUGCAAAGAGUCCUACCAACAGCCAGGCUGGUGUUCUUGGAAGUGGAUCUUCUCCUACUCUCCUACUUGAGAUGACUGCAGCCCCAGCUAACACUUCGAUUGCAGCCUUGUUAAGAUAUCACGGGCCAGACACACCCAGCUAAGUUAUGCCUGAGUUACUAGCCCACAGAAAUGAUAAGAUAAUAAAUAUUUGCUGUUUUAAGCUGCUAAGUUUUGGGUUAAUUUGUUAUACAACAAUGGAUAACUAAUACAAGUGCAGUCAUUGAUCUCAUUGAACACACCCGUAAUUCUUUGGAAAAAUGUCUACUUUCUCACCAAACUAAAAUCCAUUAAUUCCAGUAGUUAGGUGUUUGGCAAUGCCUUUAAAACGAUGCAUAGAAGUACAUGGCCAGGUCUUUAAAAUUGCGUUGCUAGACUGAAGAAGAGCUGUCUGACUUACUGGGCUUCCCACGUUCCUGCCUUCAGUUCCUGGGUUAGUGUCACAGGUUGCGGAUUUUCCACUCCAUCUCCCAGUCAUGUCUCUGGCACUUCCCCCGCUUGGCUCCUAGUAAUCAACUUUGGCUGACCUCUAACUCUCCACCUCCUGGACCACAAAAUAAACCCAAUGCUCUGAUCAUAGCUCCUCUGCAACUAUGUUUACUCCUUGGUUUGGGAUCUGCCCAGACUCUCAUUACGCCUGCCAUAGCAUUAUCCCUCUGUCCUGUACCUACGGAUGAAGCAAACCAUUGAUUUCUCCAACUAUGCUAAGUAAGAGCAAGUCAUAUUGUAAGUAAUUUAAUAAUAUAGAAUUUCUAGAGUUAUAAAAUAAUGAAGCAAUUUUAUAAAAACUAUCUUUUUAACAGGUUAAAAAAUAAAGCAAUGUCAUCAUUUCCAUUAAAUUUUGAACAAUAGAAGGCAAGCACUACUCAUUUCUAAAAAGAAAGCUUGCGCUUUUGAGGAUGAAAAGGUUUGAGUUAAUUGUAAACCAUGUAAUCAUAUGGUUAUUUUUUAGCUUUAAACUAAUAAAAUAAUGGUGCCUUCUUAUCACGGUAGGCAGUGCGUC
This 1462-nucleotide long non-coding RNA is filed under the name Homo sapiens (human). Its description in RNAcentral is "HSALNT0336723". The record is from RNAcentral. Lineage: Eukaryota; Metazoa; Chordata; Mammalia; Primates; Hominidae.